Triplophysa rosa is the source of this 800-nucleotide long non-coding RNA. RefSeq lists it as uncharacterized. The transcript has 3 exons. The record is from RefSeq and is a predicted model, not a curated record. Lineage: Eukaryota; Metazoa; Chordata; Actinopteri; Cypriniformes; Nemacheilidae.
CAACAGACACCACAGCAGACACCACAGCUAUUAAAGUACAGUAGCAUUUAAUACUUAUUUAAUAACAGAUCAACGGAUCAGAUGAAACCUUCUAAAAACAGGAAAUGUAGAGAGAAAACCACAAGUCUGAAAACUCAGGUGAAAUCGCAGAUAUCGAGAAGCAGACAGACGGUUCUAAACUGUUAUGAAAGAGGAAAGACAGCAAUGGGAGCUGGUAAUUCACAUGAUUUGACCUAUUUCCCCAGCCAAGAGGGAAAUGCUCUAUCAAAGUGUCCAGUUUGUAUCUCCUCACUGAGACUCGGCCAUACUAGUGCAUUGCUUCAGUGUACUCAAUGCCCUACUGCUCCGUUCCUGUGUGGCUCCUGCCUCUACCCCUGCUCUACUGAUUCUGCUACCUGUACAAACAACAUGUGCCCACUGGUAUCUACCCUACUAACCUGUGGACUGGUGUCAGACCCAAAGAGUAAAGUGUUUGGCUGUCCUGAGUUCCGAGCCUGUCCCAAGUGUCGCGAUUUAAUUAUUCAUGUAUCUGGGUGUAAGUUUGUGAGUUGCCACUCAUGCAAACACCGCUUCUGUUUCAUCUGCUUACAAGAUGACUGUUGCAAUGAUGUGGAGAAGUACUGGUCACUAACUUGCAAAAAGCCAAGAGCACGAAGACAAAGAUUUAUACUAACAUCCUGAACAUUCAUGGGUUGCCUAUUGUAUUCGUAGCCAAGUCUGUAACUCCAGAAUUAAUUAAUCGAUUUAAACCACUAAAGAAAUGUAUUGGCAUUGACAACAACAUUUGAACGGUUUAGGUU